AGGACUCAAAAAUAGGCCUUGCCCAGGGUGAGCCUUACUGGCCUGUCUGACCACAAGGAGACCUUCCCUCCCUGGGUCCCCCUUCUCCCUCUCCUUCCAGAGGCAGGCAGGCAGAGGAGGCCCAGGUGAAGGGUAUGGUCUCUAGAUGACUCAGAGGUCAAAGGUCAUCUCCAGGUCUCCCAGGUCUGGCUCUAGAAGGUGCUGAGCACACUUGUCAAAUGACUGAGGACCUGCCAACGCUCGCACUCUGAACCCAGGCGUGGCUUCAGCUUGUGGCCAGCCCUCACUGCCCGAGUGGCCGAGGCCAAGUCUUUCUCUUUCUUUGGCUCUCGCUUUGUCUCUCUGGGUCCACUAGUUUCCACACAGCUGCUCUGGAGGGCUCUUUAAAUGGCUUCUUAGUGAGUGUAAAAGGGGUGCUGGGGUGUGGACCUAUUAAUUGAACUGUUUCCAGUGAUCAGCCACCCAGGUAGUACUUUUGUUCCCUGUGAGUCUUCCCACAGUGCCUGUCCCCACACGGUGGCCCAGAACCCUGUCACCACCCCACUCCUCAAAACCUUUUUAGC
RNAcentral lists this long non-coding RNA (563 nucleotides) under Marmota monax (woodchuck). The record is from RNAcentral. Lineage: Eukaryota; Metazoa; Chordata; Mammalia; Rodentia; Sciuridae.